This 453-nucleotide ribosomal RNA is filed under the name Blastocystis sp. Its description in RNAcentral is "SSU rRNA". It matches the Rfam family "Eukaryotic small subunit ribosomal RNA", at positions 475 to 939 of the family's 1831-position model. Lineage: Eukaryota; Bigyra; Opalinata; Blastocystidae. The record is from RNAcentral.
AAAUCACAAUGCGGAACAAUGUUUUGCAAUUGGAUUGAGAACAACGUACAAACCUUAUCGAUAAACAAUUGGAGGGCAAGUCUGGUGCCAGCAGCCGCGGUAAUUCCAGCUCCAAUAGCGUAUAUUAACGUUGUUGCAGUUAAAAAGCUCGUAGUUGAAAUGAAGGGUAGUUGUGUAAUGAAUACAUUCGUGUAUUUUGUUAUUCUACUACCCUCCUUCUAAAUUCGAUAUAUGAGUAUUAAUUUACUUGUAUAUGGUUUUAGACGUUUACUGUGAGAAAAUUAGAGUGUUCAAAGCAGGCAUUUGCUUGAAUAUAUUAGCAUGGAAUAAUCAUGUAUGAUUUUCAUGAUGUAUUUGAUUGGUUUGGUUCAUGAGAAUAAGAUUAAAAGGGACAGUUGGGGGUAUUCAUAUUCAAUAGUCAGAGGUGAAAUUCUCGGAUUUAUGGAAGAUGAA